GACGAACGCUGGCGGCGUGCUUAACACAUGCAAGUCGAACGAUGAACCCGGAGCUUGCUCCGGCGGAUUAGUGGCGAACGGGUGAGUAACACGUGAGUAACCUGCCCUUGACUCUGGGAUAACUGCUAGAAAUGGUAGCUAAUACCGGAUACGACCCUCGGUGGCAUCACCAGGGGGUGGAAAGAAUUUCAGUCAAGGAUGGACUCGCGGCCUAUCAGCUAGUUGGUGAGGUAACGGCUCACCAAGGCGACGACGGGUAGGCGGCCUGAGAGGGUGACCGACCACACUGGGACUGAGACACGGGCCAGACUCCUACGGGAGGCAGCAGUGGGGAAUAUUGCACAAUGGGCGCAAGCCUGAUGCAGCAACGCCGCGUGAGGGAUGACGGCCUUCGGGUUGUAAACCUCUUUUAGUAGGGAAGAAGCGAAAGUGACGGUACCUGCAGAAAAAGCACCGGCUAACUACGUGCCAGCAGCCGCGGUAA
RNAcentral lists this ribosomal RNA (484 nucleotides) under uncultured bacterium. RNAcentral's name for it is "partial 16S ribosomal RNA". It matches the Rfam family "Bacterial small subunit ribosomal RNA", at positions 28 to 523 of the family's 1533-position model. The record is from RNAcentral.